RNAcentral lists this ribosomal RNA (509 nucleotides) under uncultured eukaryote. RNAcentral's name for it is "bacterial SSU rRNA". It matches the Rfam family "Eukaryotic small subunit ribosomal RNA", at positions 592 to 1007 of the family's 1831-position model. The record is from RNAcentral.
CAAUAGCGUAUAUUAAUGUUGCUGCAGUUAAAAAGCUCGUAGUUGAAUCUCGGAGAAGUUUGUAAUCUGGUCCGCCUCGAAGGCGAGUACCGAUUGCAGCUCUCUAUAUCUGGUAACAGCGUACUGCUGUGCUUAAUUGCGCGGUAGUUUCAGGAAGAGGAGACUCGACUUGAAGGUCGGGGAUGUUUUGGGGAGAAUGGAUUAAUCUCUGUUUUUCACGGGAUAACUCUGGCAAUGUUUUACCUAUUUUACUUUGAAAAAUUAGAGUGUUCAAAGCAAGGCGUUUUUGCCUAUUGAAUAUUGCAGCAUGGGAUAAUAGAAAAAGAUAGUCCGUCUUAUUUUGUUGGUUUUUUAAGUAUGACAAUAAUGAUAGAAGGGGAUGGUUGGGGCGGUCUGUAUUGCCACGUCAGAGGUGAAAUUCUUAGAUUGUGGCAAGACAAACAACUGCGAAAGCAUUCCGCUAGGACAUAUUCAUCAAUCAAGAACGAAAGUUGGGGGAUCGAAGACGA